CAGCAGUAGCCGCGGGAAUACAGAGGGUGCGAGCGUUAAUCGGAUUUACUGGGCGUAAAGCGUGCGUAGGCGGCUUCUUAAGUCGGAUGUGAAAUCCCUGAGCUUAACUUAGGAAUUGCAUUCGAUACUGGGAAGCUAGAGUAUGGGAGAGGAUGGUAGAAUUCCAGGUGUAGCGGUGAAAUGCGUAGAGAUCUGGAGGAAUACCGAUGGCGAAGGCAGCCAUCUGGCCUAAUACUGACGCUGAGGUACGAAAGCAUGGGGAGCAAACAGGAUUAGAUACCCCAGUAGUCCCUGUCUCUUAUAA
This 304-nucleotide ribosomal RNA is filed under the name uncultured bacterium. Its description in RNAcentral is "partial 16S ribosomal RNA". It matches the Rfam family "Bacterial small subunit ribosomal RNA", at positions 506 to 809 of the family's 1533-position model. The record is from RNAcentral.